CCUACGGGUGGCAGCAGUGAGGAAUAUUGGUCAAUGGACGCAAGUCUGAACCAGCAAUGCCGCGUGCAGGAAGACGGCUCUAUGAGUUGUAAACUGCUUUUGUACGAGGGUAAACGCAGAUACGAGUAUCUGUCUGAAAGUAUAGUACGAAUAAGGAUCGGCUAACUCCGUGCCAGCAGCCGCGGUAAUACGGAGGAUUCAAGCGUUAUCCGGAUUUAUUGGGUUUAAAGGGUGCGUAGGCGGUCGGAUAAGUUAGAGGUUAAAUCCCGAGGCUCAACUUCUGAAUUGCCUCUGAUACUGUUCGGCUAGAGAGUAGUUGCGGUAGGCGGAAUGUAUGUUGUAGCGGUGAAAUGCUUAGAGAUCAUACAGAACACCGAUUGCGAAGGCAGCUUACCAAGCUACUUCUGACGUUGAGGCACGAAAGCGUGGGGAGCAAACAGGAUUAGAUACCCCAGUAGUC
Molecule: ribosomal RNA, 460 nt
Filed under: uncultured bacterium
Lineage: Bacteria
Description: partial 16S ribosomal RNA
Rfam family: Bacterial small subunit ribosomal RNA
Source: RNAcentral